CUAUCUCAGUUCGGAUUGGAGGCUGAAACCCGCCUCCAUGAAGUUGGAUUCGCUAGUAAUCGCGCAUCAGCCAUGGCGCGGUGAAUACGUUCCCGGGCCUUGUACACACCGCCCGUCAAGCCAUGGGAGCUGGGGGUGCCUGAAGUUCGUGACCGCAAGGAUCGACCUAGGGCAAAACCGGUGACUGGGGCUAAGUCGUAACAAGGUAUC
RNAcentral lists this ribosomal RNA (210 nucleotides) under uncultured bacterium. RNAcentral's name for it is "partial 16S ribosomal RNA". It matches the Rfam family "Bacterial small subunit ribosomal RNA", at positions 1283 to 1500 of the family's 1533-position model. The record is from RNAcentral.